AACCAGGACUGCAGAGAAGAGACAGCCGCCAAGAACCUCUGAAACACACAGUGACUACAUCAAAGAUGGGAGCCAUUAGAGGAGAAAAAUCUGGAGCUCUGCUGGUCAUGAACACAGCAACACAGAUUUAUGCAUACCAGACAUGCUAGGCAGAAGCUUGGGUGAGAAAGGAAUAGAUCACCACAUAUGGAAGCUACAAGAAGGUGCCUGCUAGGAUAUGACGAUAGUGCUGCAAUGACAUGGGUGUCCAGGACUGGCAGACAAGAGGCAAACAGCAGAUAUUCAGGCCACAGGGGAAAACAGACACUCACUUUUAAGUUUGUAUGAGAAGUAUCAAUAAAUAAUACCAGGGAUAGUAACUGGAAGAUUGUUGGAAAUGCAGAAUGAGAAGCAGACUAAGGAUGGAGAUAUGGAUUUGGGAGUUAGACCUCAAAAGACCCAA
Molecule: long non-coding RNA, 442 nt
Organism: Fukomys damarensis (Damara mole-rat)
Lineage: Eukaryota; Metazoa; Chordata; Mammalia; Rodentia; Bathyergidae
Exons: 4
Source: RefSeq, a predicted model, not a curated record